This 454-nucleotide long non-coding RNA is filed under the name Homo sapiens (human). RNAcentral's name for it is "novel transcript, antisense to LAT & SPNS1". The record is from RNAcentral. Lineage: Eukaryota; Metazoa; Chordata; Mammalia; Primates; Hominidae.
UUUAAGUUCUGUUUUAUUGAGAACCACAAAAGGUAAGAACUAAGAGAGUCCUCCCAGGUCAUCAGGUCCCAUCCCUUGGUCUAAGGAUGGUGAAACCAUUGUCACAGCCAGCAGCUGCCGUGUUCUGGGACUGUCUCAUGGGGCAAUGUGUCCUCACCCCCAGCAGUGCCAGCCCAGGUCAGAAGGCUUCAUUCAGAAGGGGGGUGUCACAGCACCUGGCUGAGCCCCCAUGGAGGAUGGAGACCCACAGAUACACACAAACACACAGAGACAUCUCCAAAUCUCUGACUCAGACUCGCACACAGGCACACACAGACGCACGCUCAACACAGACACACGCAGGCCUUUAUUCUAUUACACAGAGUAGGGCUGGGGAGCAGGGAUGUAGUGCGGCUCGGAGCAGUGGGAGUUUGGUGGCGUGUGUGGAGGGGACAUGACACACUAGGCCCAGCAG